RNAcentral lists this unclassified non-coding RNA (341 nucleotides) under soil metagenome. Its description in RNAcentral is "partial contains 5.8S ribosomal RNA, internal transcribed spacer 2, and large subunit ribosomal RNA". The stretch from base 1 to 120 matches the Rfam family "5.8S ribosomal RNA", at positions 35 to 154 of the family's 154-position model. The record is from RNAcentral.
GAUGAAGAACGUAGCGAAAUGCGAUAAGUAAUGUGAAUUGCAGAAUUCAGUGAAUCAUCGAAUCUUUGAACGCACAUUGCGCCCGCCAGUAUUCUGGCGGGCAUGCCUGUUCGAGCGUCAUUUCAACCCUCAAGCCCCCGGGCUUGGUGUUGGGGAUCGGCCGCCCUCCGGCGCGCCGGCCCCGAAAUCUAGUGGCGGUCUCGCUGUAGCCUCCUCUGCGUAGUAGCACACCUCGCACCGGAACGCAGCCUGGCCACGCCGUUAAACCCCCCACUUCUGAAGGUUGACCUCGGAUCAGGUAGGAAUACCCGCUGAACUUAAGCAUAUCAAUAAGCGGAGGA